Diceros bicornis minor is the source of this 1037-nucleotide RNA transcript. It is a transcript of the gene named COMM domain containing 6, with no coding region annotated. The record is from RefSeq and is a predicted model, not a curated record. The transcript is spliced from 4 exons. NCBI's taxonomy places the organism in Eukaryota, Metazoa, Chordata, Mammalia, Perissodactyla, Rhinocerotidae.
CUUAUAGAUUUUCAGUGGAAACUGGGUAUGGCUGUGAGCUCGGACAGUUGCAGAUCUCUUAAGUAUCCUUACGUUGCAGUGAUGCUAAAAGUGGCGGAUCAUUCAGGCCAUGUAAAGAACAAGUCCUUUGAAAUGACAAUUCCCCAGUUUCAGAAUUUCUACAGACAGUUCAAGGAAAUUGCUGCAAUUAUUGAAACUGUGUGAAAACUGAUUGCUAUCAUCAUUCUAAAAUCGUGGACUUCACUUUCUUCAACAGAACUGCAUAAGGAUCAAAUGAUAUUUAUUGAAUGAAAAUUGAACUUUUGUUUUUUCAUUUUUUUAAAUAAAAAAUCAGACAAACAGGAAUUAGACAAUGGUGAUGGAUUCACAACUUUGUGAAUAUUCUAAAAGCCACUGAAUUGAACACUUUAAAGGGUGAACUCUGUGGUGAGCUGCUGCCACAGCCUGGCUACUGAAGACAAGUGGUGUGGUUCCGCACCCGGGAACCGAAUCCGGGCCGCUGAAGUGGAGCGCGCUGAACUUUAACCACUAGGCCAUCAGGAUUGGCUCCCUUCUCAAACAUUUGAAACCAGACAGGAAGAUUGUGUUUCCCAGCUUCCCUUGCAGUUAAGUUGGGACCUCAUGAUUGGGCUGUGGAAACUGGACAGAAGUGUCCUAAGCCACAUCCAGUCUUUGUCAUAAAUCUUUACUUGUCAUCUUCCAAGCCCUCUCCCAUCCUUGGCUGCUGGAAAUGAAGGACUCUGAGCGAAAUCAUAAGAUGGACCCCUGAAUUACUACUGGAGGCAAACUCAAAAUAACAGCCUGACUUGUAUCAGACAGUGGUCUGAGCUCGAAACAAACUUGUGGUAAGCUGGUGAAAUUUUUGGAGUGUUUGUUAACAACAGCAACUGAGCAUACAUUUGAAUAACUCAAGAUGUAUGCAUGAAGAUUUUUUGUCUUAGUGUUUCCAGUGGCAAAAAGCAAAAUAAAGGAAACAAUAACUGUCAAUAAAGAAAUGGUUGAAUAAAUUUGGCAUAUCUAUGCUAUAGCAUAUCAUA